Transfer RNA from Camelus ferus (Wild Bactrian camel), 73 nucleotides. It matches the Rfam family "tRNA". From Rfam's summary of the family: Transfer RNA (tRNA) molecules are approximately 80 nucleotides in length. Their secondary structure includes four short double-helical elements and three loops (D, anti-codon, and T loops). Lineage: Eukaryota; Metazoa; Chordata; Mammalia; Artiodactyla; Camelidae. The record is from Rfam.
GAGGGGAUAGCUUAGUGGUAGAGUGCCAUGCUUAGCAUGCACGAGGUCCUGGGUUCAAUCCCCAGUACCUCCA